This 253-nucleotide ribosomal RNA is filed under the name uncultured bacterium. RNAcentral describes it as "partial 16S ribosomal RNA". It matches the Rfam family "Bacterial small subunit ribosomal RNA", at positions 524 to 776 of the family's 1533-position model. The record is from RNAcentral.
GACGGAGGAUGCAAGCGUUAUCCGGAAUGAUUGGGCGUAAAGCGUCCGCAGGUGGCAGUUCAAGUCUGCUGUCAAAGACCGGGGCUUAACUUCGGAAAGGCAGUGGAAACUGAACAGCUAGAGUAUGGUAGGGGCAGAGGGAAUUCCUGGUGUAGCGGUGAAAUGCGUAGAGAUCAGGAAGAACACCGGUGGCGAAAGCGUUCUGCUAGACCUGUACUGACACUGAGGGACGAAAGCUAGGGGAGCGAAUGGG